CUAAUUAUAUUUAAAAGUAGAAAGCUAAACCACAAAAAGAAGAAAGGGAAAAAAUAGAAUAAAGAUAAAAAAGGGAAGCCUUACCAAGAAUGAAAGAAGAAAAGGAUCAUCAAGGCUUGUUACAAUGAUAUGCAUUAAGCAGAAGAAUGUUGUCCCCAGUUACUGUAAUCUUCUUAAUUAAUCCAACCAACUAAAAAUUAUCAAUGAAACUUAAUUUGGUAAACAUUGUAUCAACCAGAAUGCUUAAUUAAGUUAUAGUUCAAGUGUCGAGCAUGUCCAUUGAUAUUGAUUCUCCCUUACACUAUUUCCUUGUUCUGCUCCAUUUGUGGUUCCUAUAGGAGAUGGGUCACUUAUUCUGCUUCUGCAAGAUAUAUUCGCCCAACUGGCUGAACCCCACCACUUUUUCCUCCUGUUUAUAAGGAGCUCCAUUGAUAACAUGUCCAUACAUCCCUCGACUUCAAGUCAUCUUCCUUGACUAAGAGUAAUCCUCCCGUUCCGCUUCUUUCCAGGAUUCAUCCGGUCACCCUUCCAUUGACACAUUGGUUUUGUCUCAAUUUGUGCCGGACUCCCCUGCUCUGUCAAACAGAACUUGACCAUUGUCAUCCUUCAGAGCCUAUUGCACCAUACAUUAUCAACUUUGAUUCUAGAAAAAUAUAUUACAACUUUGGUAUUUAUCAAUGGCAUCCAAUACUCUCUCUUCUUCACGUAGUUCAAGCUCCUUCUGGACUCCCAAGCAAAACAAACUAUUUGAAAAGGCCCUUGCUAAAUAUGAUAAGGAUACCCCUGAUCGCUGGCACAAUAUUGCCAGGGCAGUGGGUGGAAAAUCUGCAGAGGAAGUGAAAAGGCACUACGAAAUUCUAAUAGAGGACGUUAAGCAUAUUGAGUCCGGUACUGUUCCAUUCCCCAACUACAGAUGAAGGUGAAAUAAUCGCCACGCCAGUUUGCAAUCUGACCAAAAGGUAAUAAUAUAGUUAGUUUCUACCUAGUACCUAGAUACAUUCAUGUUUAUUACCAUUAUCUUUCGUGUCGCUCUAAUCCAUCCAAAAUUUCUGUGCACUAACAUUCUGCAAAAAUGGUCUUGAGUAUAAUAAAUAAGAUCCAAAUGUCUGCUUGUGACAUCAGUUUAGAAAGACAUACUUGUCAUGGGGCCAUAAGAUAAAUUUAGUGGGCACUCAAAAGUUUAAAAAGUGCUAGCAUAUUGUGGACCAUUCUCAAUUAACAAUCAAGCCAAAGUUCCCUUCACCAUAUUGCUUAUCAUUUUCUUUUAAAGGCAGGGCCAGGCCACACUUCAUUCAACACCUUAUCCUGUCUAUAAGCACAAACAAGUCCCUCGUGAGAUCUAAUCUACCCUUUGUGGUUCAUAACAUGCCAAUAGUCCUCUGCAUUCUUAACUCUAGUUCAGACAGUUCCUUUGUGAUAUACAAACUAGCUUCUCCUUUACAAUUUUAUAGUGGAUAUCCUGACAAACCACUGGUAACCCGAUAUUUUAUUCUCUCUUACUUUUAACCUAAAAGAUAAUGUACUCUCUCUCAUUUCUCUACACACUUUUAAUUAUUUAUAAUAGAUCUUUUGUCUUGAGUUGGAGUUGUGGUGCUCCAUGCUAUAUACACUUUUGGCCUGGCGGCAUAUUGCUGAAGAUCUCUAACUUUUUAAAUGUCCCGGCUUUUACUUUGAAUAAUAAUUUGCUAAGAACUGAAAACCUUUUUUUCAUUUUUUUUUUUUUGGCUUCUCUUCUUCAGCUCUCUAUGUAACAGGUUUACCAUUUACGGAGUACUAAAAGCUACAGUAUGGAAGUUGAUGCUUCUAGUUCUCUCCCACUACCUCCGUCUCUCUAAACUUCCCUAAAAAUGUGCAAUAUCUCUAUUUAUUUGUAAUGCACUUCAGACCUACUAUAUGAAGACAAGAAUAUGUAAUGAUCUUACCCCUAUUAAUGGCAUUAUUGCUGUAUCAAUAUGACUUAUUGUAUCGCGAGUACGAUUGAAAUCUUCUUAAUUAAGCAAAAUAUUUUUGAAGAAAGGCAGUUUGUCAUCACAAUUGGGAACAACAAAGAAUGCCUUAAAAUUAAACUAAUGAUAUAACAAUAAUACAUACCAUCUUCAUCCCCAUUAAUUUGAUCAAAUGUUCAAGUAUAUAACCGAAAUGAAUUUGAAGAAUAUGGAAAAAGGAUGAACUGAAUUUGGAAAUACAAUACAAUGAUAUUAACAAACUUUGAGUUAGGGUUUUGAUGGCUUACCUGAAAUACUGAUAUUUAAUACUCCUUUUGUUUCCAAGAUAGCCGGUAAAGAUUAUAUAUAGCCGAUGUGAUUAUUGAUAAAUUAACCUCCAUUGCAAUUCAUGGUGUAAAUCGAGAUUGGAGAAGCAUUCUGUUUGUAGUGGCGGGAAAAAUUGUACUUCUUGUCAUCGGGUAUGGCGGGCGUAUAGGAGGAGGAAACCUUAGGUCAACUGUCUCCAUGAGUACGUCU
This 2462-nucleotide long non-coding RNA is filed under the name Panax ginseng (ginseng). RNAcentral describes it as "long non-coding RNA (PGIN_LNC010314)". The record is from RNAcentral. Lineage: Eukaryota; Viridiplantae; Streptophyta; Magnoliopsida; Apiales; Araliaceae.